UCCCCAGCAAGGAAGAUGGAAGCUUAACAGCUAGGCAGAUUUCAGUUAGACAGCAGGAAGGACCACUCACUCACUGCUUUGCCAGAUGGCUAUAACCUGGAUCAUGUGUGACCUAAGUAGAGCCCUACAGUGGGAAUCAGGAGGCUUCUUGCCUUUGUCUGUACAUCCACAGACGGGAACUGUCAUUUCUACUUGCCACAGCGGCCUGGGAUGAGACGUCUCUCCUCACAGAUGGGGAGAGCCUUUCGCCUGACAGACGAGACUCAACAUCUGAAGGCAGCUGCUCCUCUAUAGGCUCGCAGCCCCAGGAGAGAACAAGAGGCCCAUCAUCUCCCACUGCCUCAUCCUUGACAGUUUAACACCAAUCUCCAACUUGGCGCUAGCCUGCUCUGUGAACUGACUAAUCUGACCAACCUCUGACAAACAGGCUGCAAGUCCACCUGUGACAAGCGGGUGUAGGAGACCUGAGGGGACUCACAGCCUCGUGGCUUGGCUGUGUGACCCUGGCGAGAAGAACUGACAUCUCUGGGCUGUAGGUUUGGGUCUGUGAAGUGAGGAGUGUGGCUAACUGCCCCGGCCUUGAGUUCA
Molecule: long non-coding RNA, 588 nt
Organism: Peromyscus eremicus (cactus mouse)
Lineage: Eukaryota; Metazoa; Chordata; Mammalia; Rodentia; Cricetidae
Exons: 2
Source: RefSeq, a predicted model, not a curated record